UAUCAGGUGGCCGACGUUUCAGAGGUGCUUAAUCCCUCAUAUCUUAUUGCAGUGAUAAGCAUCUCUGAAACGUCGGUUACCUGUAA
RNAcentral lists this microRNA precursor (86 nucleotides) under Zootermopsis nevadensis. RNAcentral describes it as "microRNA mir-61". The record is from RNAcentral. Lineage: Eukaryota; Metazoa; Arthropoda; Insecta; Blattodea; Termopsidae.